GCACACAUAGCUCAGUCGGUAGAGCACAUCCUUGGUAAGGAUGAGGUCACCGGUUCGAUCCCGGUUGUGUGCU
Molecule: transfer RNA, 73 nt
Filed under: Gemmatimonas sp.
Lineage: Bacteria; Pseudomonadati; Gemmatimonadota; Gemmatimonadia; Gemmatimonadales; Gemmatimonadaceae
Also listed under: 1 other name
Description: tRNA-Thr
Rfam family: tRNA
About the family: Transfer RNA (tRNA) molecules are approximately 80 nucleotides in length. Their secondary structure includes four short double-helical elements and three loops (D, anti-codon, and T loops). Further hydrogen bonds mediate the characteristic L-shaped molecular structure. tRNAs have two regions of fundamental functional importance: the anti-codon, which is responsible for specific mRNA codon recognition, and the 3' end, to which the tRNAs corresponding amino acid is attached (by aminoacyl-tRNA synthetases). tRNAs cope with the degeneracy of the genetic code in two manners: having more than one tRNA (with a specific anti-codon) for a particular amino acid; and 'wobble' base-pairing, i.e. permitting non-standard base-pairing at the 3rd anti-codon position.
Source: RNAcentral